Molecule: long non-coding RNA, 2859 nt
Organism: Pelmatolapia mariae (spotted tilapia)
Lineage: Eukaryota; Metazoa; Chordata; Actinopteri; Cichliformes; Cichlidae
Exons: 5
Source: RefSeq, a predicted model, not a curated record
UCACAAAAACGCCCCCGAGAUUACCCGACACACGAUUCGACGCUUCGACACACAGGACACAUCACUACAUAUACCACUACCAACGCCUGGAUCGAUAUCUGCAUCGAUCUGCCCACCCUUGUCUCCUGGAUCGUAGCUGAGAUCAGCGUGAACCACGUGGGUCUCUGCUCCCUGAUCUGUUUCCUGUGUUUGGAAAGAGUUCCAGCUUCAUCACGGAGUUUCUCUCGGUUAGUGGGCUCAUCUAAAGGGUCUGCAGCCUUAAGGGCAAGGGCGUAGAUUUGGCGUGGACGGAAGGGACAUGUCCCCACCAAUAUCCAGCGAUUAUUGAAUUGUCCCCACCAAUAAUUUGAUCUCUUCGAGUAAAGAAGAAAAAAACGAUCUGUCAACGUCUCAUUCACCUAGAGGCGCAGAAAGAGUUAAAUUGUUCUCUACUGGAGUCCUACCGCAUGUGACAAAUAUGGCCAAUGUGAUUGGCUGUGCCUUUCAGGGAGCUCUGUUUAGUUUUAGCAGCGGCAAGCCUGCGCUGGACCUGCAAGGAGGAGAGGAGGACGGCAGCAAAAAGGAAGAACCUCGAUAUACGAAAGUAUUUUUCAAAGAAACCUCUGAGUAACAGGAGGAGAAGAGUCUGGUGGAGCAGCAGAGGAACAAUUUCAGCCAUUUGGACUCAGCUCAGCCACUACAGAGGAAACAAUGACUUCAACACAGGAGGACCAACAUGGAGCGAGAAGUCAGCGCUCUCAGGAGGCCGACAAACCUCACAGAAGAAAGGGACACAAAAAAUACAGCUGUGAUGAGUGUGGGAAGGAUUUUGCUCACAGUAGCAACUUACGACAUCAUCAAGUUACCCACUCUGGAGUUAAAGCGUACAGCUGUGACUUGUGUGGAAAGUCUUUUACCAUGGCUGGAAGCUUAAAAACACACAGACUCCUGCACACUGGAGUUAAACCAUACAGCUGUGAUCAGUGUGGUAAAGCUUUUGCUCGUUUUAGCACCUUACGACAUCAUCAAGUUACUCACUCUGGAAUUAAAGCGUAUAGCUGUGAUGAGUGUGGAAAGUCUUUUACCCAGGCUGGAAGCUUAAAAAUACACAAACUCGACCACAGUGGAGUUAAACCUUACAGCUGUGACCAGUGUGGUAAAGCUUUUGCCGUCAGUAGAAGCUUACAGAAUCAUAAAGUUAUCCACUCUGGAAUUAAGGCAUACAGCUGUGAUCAGUGUGGUAAAGCUUUUGCUCGAAUUAGUGGCUUAAAGAGUCAUCAAGUUACGCACUCUGGAAUUAAGGCAUACAGCUGUGAUCAGUGUGGUAAAGCUUUUGCUCGAAGUAGCGAAUUACAAAGUCAUCUAGUUACGCACUCUGGAAUUAAGGCAUACAGCUGCGACAUUUGUGGAAAAACUUUCUGCCGGCUACUUAGCCGAAAUUUUCACCAACGCAUUCACACCAAAAAUGAUUUUUGCUUCUGUGAUCAGUGUGGCAAACGGUUUGUGGCAUACAAAUACUUACGUGAACACAUGUUUACCCACACUGAGGAGAGACCUUAUAAAUGUGACCAGUGUGAGAAGACUUUUAAAUCUCAACGUUACCUGAGAGUCCACCAACAGAUUCACACCAGAAAGAAACUCUACAAGUGUAGUUACUGUGAGAAGCAGAGCGACACAGAUGGAUGCAGUUCUCAACCCUGUCAUCACUGUGGUGGUGGGAAAGAGUUUCGCUGUGACCUUUGUGGAAAAACUUUCAAUCGUCCAGAGAGCCUAAAAGUACAUCAGCGCAGACACACUGGAGACAAAAUGAACUACUGCAAAGAAUGUGGGAAAGGCUUCCCCACACAAAGUGAAUUAAAAAAACACGAACUCUGCCACAGUGGGGUUAAACAGUAUGUCUGUGAACAGUGUGGGUCAUCUUUCUUCACUGCAGAUAAUCUUAAAGUGCAUAAAAGAGUCCACACAGGAGAGAAACCAUACAAGUGCAGACACUGUGACAGAAGCUUCUCAUUUUCAUCUGGUUGUAACCAUCAUGAACUUACACACAUUGAAGGGAACUUCAGCUGUGACCAGUGUGACAAGAGCUUCAAGAAUCUCAGUUCAUACUCCAAACACAAACGAUCCCACUCUGUAAAUAAAUUGUUUCACUGUUACCAAUGUGCAAAAACAUUCACUUCAUUAUCUGCUCUGUGCAAACAUCAGCGUGAUCAUGCAGAACUGAAAUCACUGGAUCACAAGGAAUCUGAAGAGACGGAAAGAUCUCCUUCUGGUUUCAGGGUCAGACUGAAAAACCUUGAGAUCAGGCUCCACAGAGUUCAGAUGGAGUCUCCUGUAAAGAGUGUCAGCUGAUGUCACACUUGAAUCUGAUGGGGUAGCUCUGAUUUCUGCAGCUGCAGUGAAUAAACCUGGAUGUUAUUUAGGAAGUUGCAAGUAUAGAUAUGUACAUCAAGUGUUUUGUUUUUUUCUUUGAGAGAUGUUAAUUUUGCAAAAGGUUUUCCCUGUUACAUUUUGAUCUUUAUUCUCUUAGGACACAAUAGUGUUUAGUAGUUGUACUUAUUAUUGUAUUAUAAAAGUUAUCGCUAUGUUUUGUUUUUUUUAAUAACCUGAUAUUGUAUCAAAACUGCAGAUAUACAUCUUUUUUUUAAUUUCAAUUCAAUUUUCUUGCUUUUUUUCCAAAUCUAACUUGUUUUCUUUAUAGAUUCAUUUUAUGUGUUGUGUGUUAAAAUGUUAUCCAUUAUAUAUUUAAUUUUCUCAUGCUGUGGUAAUCCCUGCUCUUAAAUCCCUUUCUCACAAAACUGCCAAGAAUUUCACACCAGUUGUUCUUAAAGAGUCACAGAGUUUUGUUUUUUUUUUCGUGAAAAAAAUAAAAAAUUAUAUGAA